UGGAGCCCUGCAUUCAGCUCUGGGGCCCCCAGCACAAGAAGGAAAUGGACGUAUUACGUCCACCUGUUUGGGAGGGAAAUGUACAGAAGAUUUUUGCUUCUCUUGGGAGGAAACAUCCUUCCACCUUCUUCUGGGCAGGUCCUGUUUGGAGAGGUGUGAUGUGAUCCGCAGCAACUCCAGCUUGUGGAGUGGAAGGGUCUGACUGCCAUCUCUGUGUCCUGUUGGAGCCACAGUGUUCCCAUGUCAUACUGCUUCACUAUGAUCCGGGAGGACAUCACGGUGUGACAGGAGAUACAAUCCAAACAGCCAUUACCAUUAAACAAGCAUCAUGGCAUUUCAAAAUUAAAAUGUCUGUUUGUCAGUUAUUCCCCCAAAAGGCAACACUUUUCCAACAAGGGGGAAAACACUGGCAUAGGUAGGAGGCUGACCAAAUUCCUUGACAUGUCGCUUCAACGCAGUUAUCAGCUUAGUAAUGAUGACAAUGUCUUGUUACUAGUAGUGAGCUUGUGAAUCACUGUGGGAGGCUAAGGAUGAUUACUCAGCCACUCUCCGUGAUACUUCUGAAGUUGUCUCCUGCUGAAAACUUUCCUACCCACCUUUUUAAGAUCAUGUUUUCCCUUGCUCUGGCCUCUUUUAUGUUGUUUUGCUCGCCGGUAGGAGAUGGAGCUGCAACUCUUGUCAAAACAGAUGAAUAAAU
This is a long non-coding RNA of Cygnus olor (mute swan), 697 nucleotides long. RefSeq lists it as uncharacterized. The record is from RefSeq and is a predicted model, not a curated record. NCBI's taxonomy places the organism in Eukaryota, Metazoa, Chordata, Aves, Anseriformes, Anatidae. The transcript has 4 exons.